GACGUAGGGCGCGAGCGUUGUCCGGAUUUAUUGGGCGUAAAGAGCUCGUAGGCGGCUUGUUGCGUCGACUGUGAAAACCCGCGGCUUAACUGCGGGCUUGCAGUUGAUACGGGCAGGCUAGAGUUCGGUAGGGGAGACUGGAAUUCCUGGUGUAGCGGUGAAAUGCGCAGAUAUCAGGAGGAACACCGGUGGCGAAGGCGGGUCUCAGGGCCGAUACUGACGCUGAGGAGCGAAAGCGUGGGGAGCGAACAGG
RNAcentral lists this ribosomal RNA (253 nucleotides) under uncultured bacterium. RNAcentral's name for it is "partial 16S ribosomal RNA". It matches the Rfam family "Bacterial small subunit ribosomal RNA", at positions 524 to 776 of the family's 1533-position model. The record is from RNAcentral.